UGGGGGAUAACGCACCGAAAGGAGUGCUAAUACCGCAUGUGGUGCUCAUUCACAAGGAUGAUCACUAAAACCGCAAGGUGCUUGAAGAGGGGUUUGUCUCCGAUUAGCUUGUUGGUGGGGUAACGGCCUACCAAGGCUAUGAUCGGUAGCUGGUCUGAGAGGAUGGUCAGCCACACUGGAACUGAGACACGGUCCAGACUCCUACGGGAGGCAGCAGCAAGGAAUCUUGGGCAAUGGGCGAAAGCCUGACCCAGCGACGCCGCGUGAGGGAUGACGGCCUUCGGGUUGUAAACCUCUUUUCUCAGGGAAGAAUAAUGACGGUACCUGAGGAAUAAGUCUCGGCUAACUACGUGCCAGCAGCCGCGGUAAUACGUAGGAGGCGAGCGUUAUCCGGAUUUAUUGGGCGUAAAGUGGGCGUAGGUGGUCUUUCAAGUCGGAUGUGAAAUCUCCCGGCUCAACUGGGAGCGGUCAUCCGAUACUGGUGGACUUGAGUAUGGCAGGAGAAAACGGAAUUCCCGGUGUAGUGGUGAAAUGCGUAGAUAUCGGGAGGAACACCAGAGGCGAAGGCGGUUUUCUAGGCCAAAACUGACACUGAGGCCCGAAAGCGUGGGGAGCGAACAGGAUUAGAUACCCUGGUAGUCCACGCCCUAAACACUGGAUACUAGGUAUAGGGAGUAUCGACCCUCUCUGUGCCGAAGCUAACGCUUUAAGUAUCCCGCCUGGGGAGUACGGUCGCAAGACUAAAACUCAAAGGAAUUGACGGGGGCCCGCACAAGCAGCGGAGCGUGUGGUUUAAUUCGAUGCUACACGAAGAACCUCACCAGGGCUUGACAUGUUAGAAGUAGUGAACCGAAAGGGGAUCCACCUGUCAAGUCAGGAGCUAUCACAGGUGCUGCAUGGCUGUCGUCAGCUCGUGCCGUGAGGUGUAUGGUUAAGUCCUGCAACGAGCGCAACCCUUAUCCUUAGUUACCAGCGAGUUAUGUCGGGGACUUUAAGGAGACUGCCGGUGAUAAACCGGAGGAAGGUGGGGAUGACGUCAAGUCCUCAUGGCCCUUACAGGUAGGGCUACACACGUGCUACAAUGGCCAGUACAAAGGGUUGCCAACCCGCGAGGGGGAGCUAAUCUCAUAAAGCUGGUCGUAGUCCGGAUCGGAGUCUA
RNAcentral lists this ribosomal RNA (1159 nucleotides) under uncultured soil bacterium. RNAcentral describes it as "bacterial SSU rRNA". It matches the Rfam family "Bacterial small subunit ribosomal RNA", at positions 137 to 1307 of the family's 1533-position model. The record is from RNAcentral.